UACCAGCACCCCGAGUGGUCGGGACGUUUAUUGGGCCUAAAGCAUCCGUAGCCGGUUCUACAAAUCUUCCGUUAAAUCCAACUGCUUAACAGGUGGGCUGCGGAAGAUACUAUAGAGCUAGGAGGCGGGAGAGGCAAGCGGUACUCGAUGGGUAGGGGUAAAAUCCGUUGAUCCAUUGAAGACCACCAGUGGCGAAGGCGGCUUGCCAGAACGCGCUCGACGGUGAGGGAUGAAAGCUGGGGGAGCAAACCGG
RNAcentral lists this ribosomal RNA (253 nucleotides) under uncultured bacterium. RNAcentral describes it as "partial 16S ribosomal RNA". It matches the Rfam family "Archaeal small subunit ribosomal RNA", at positions 474 to 727 of the family's 1478-position model. The record is from RNAcentral.